AUCGCUUUUCGGCCUUUUGGCUAAGAUCAAGUGUAGUAUCUGUUCUUAUCAGUUCAAUAUCUGAUACAUCUCUGGGGACCAUAUAUUAAAUGAUUUUUCAAACAAGGAAAUGGAAAAAGAGCUUGCUCUGUCCACUCCAUGCAUUGACCUGGUAUUGCAGUACCUCCUGGACUGGUGCACUAAAA
Molecule: small nuclear RNA, 185 nt
Organism: Bufo bufo (common toad)
Lineage: Eukaryota; Metazoa; Chordata; Amphibia; Anura; Bufonidae
Product: U2 spliceosomal RNA
Exons: 1
Source: RefSeq, a predicted model, not a curated record